This 253-nucleotide unclassified non-coding RNA is filed under the name uncultured Myxococcales bacterium. RNAcentral describes it as "contains 16S-23S intergenic spacer region". It matches the Rfam family "Bacterial small subunit ribosomal RNA", at positions 524 to 776 of the family's 1533-position model. The record is from RNAcentral. Lineage: Bacteria; Pseudomonadati; Myxococcota; Myxococcia; Myxococcales.
UACAGAGGGUGCGAGCGUUGUUCGGAAUUACUGGGCGUAAAGCGCGUGUAGGCGGCUGGGUAAGUCGGAUGUGAAAGCCCUCGGCUCAACCGAGGAAGUGCAUCCGAUACUGCCUAGCUUGAGUCCCGGAGGGGGUGGCGGAAUUCCCGGUGUAGAGGUGAAAUUCGUAGAUAUCGGGAGGAACACCUGUGGCGAAGGCGGCCACCUGGACGGGUACUGACGCUGAGACGCGAAAGCGUGGGGAGCAAACAGG